RNAcentral lists this ribosomal RNA (497 nucleotides) under uncultured bacterium. RNAcentral describes it as "partial 16S ribosomal RNA". It matches the Rfam family "Bacterial small subunit ribosomal RNA", at positions 28 to 507 of the family's 1533-position model. The record is from RNAcentral.
GGCGAACGCUGGCGGCGUGCCUAAUACAUGCAAGUUGAGCGCUGAAGGUUGGUACUUGUACCAACUGGAUGAGCAGCGAACGGGUGAGUAACGCGUGGGGAAUCUGCCUUUGAGCGGGGGACAACAUUUGGAAACGAAUGCUAAUACCGCAUAAAAACUUUAAACACAAGUUUUAAGUUUGAAAGAUGCAAUUGCAUCGCUCAAAGAUGAUCCCGCGUUGUAUUAGCUAGUUGGUGAGGUAAAGGCUCACCAAGGCGAUGAUACAUAGCCGACCUGAGAGGGUGAUCGGCCACAUUGGGACUGAGACACGGCCCAAACUCCUACGGGAGGCAGCAGUAGGGAAUCUUCGGCAAUGGACGAAAGUCUGACCGAGCAACGCCGCGUGAGUGAAGAAGGUUUUCGGAUCGUAAAACUCUGUUGGUAGAGAAGAACGUUGGUGAGAGUGGAAAGCUCAUCAAGUGACGGUAACUACCCAGAAAGGGACGGCUAACUACGUG